RNAcentral lists this ribosomal RNA (764 nucleotides) under uncultured bacterium. RNAcentral describes it as "bacterial SSU rRNA". It matches the Rfam family "Bacterial small subunit ribosomal RNA", at positions 8 to 787 of the family's 1533-position model. The record is from RNAcentral.
AGAGUUUGAUCAUGGCUCAGGACGAACGCUGGCGGCGUGCUUAACACAUGCAAGUCGAGCGGAAAGGCCACUUCGGUGGUACUCGAGCGGCGAACGGGUGAGUAACACGUGAGUAAUCUGCCCCUGGCUUUGGGAUAGCCACCGGAAACGGUGAUUAAUACCGGAUAUGACCGCUUCUCGCAUGGGUUGUGGUGGAAAGUUUUUCGGCCAGGGAUGGUGCUCGCGGCCUAUCAGCUUGAUGGUGAGGUAAUGGCUCACCAUGGCUUCGACGGGUAGCCGGCCUGAGAGGGUGACCGGUCACACUGGGACUGAGACACGGCCCAGACUCCUACGGGAGGCAGCAGUGGGGAAUAUUGGACAAUGGGCGGAAGCCUGAUCCAGCAACGCCGCGUGAGGGAUGACGGCCUUCGGGUUGUAAACCUCUUUCAGUACCGACGAAGCGCAAGUGACGGUAGGUACAGAAGAAGCACCGGCCAACUACGUGCCAGCAGCCGCGGUAAUACGUAGGGUGCGAGCGUUGUCCGGAAUUAUUGGGCGUAAAGGGCUCGUAGGCGGUUUGUCGCGUCGGGAGUGAAAACCAGGUGCUUAACACCUGGCUUGCUUUCGAUACGGGCAGACUAGAGGUAUUCAGGGGAGAACGGAAUUCCUGGUGUAGCGGUGAAAUGCGCAGAUAUCAGGAGGAACACCGGUGGCGAAGGCGGUUCUCUGGGAACAUCCUGACGCUGAGGAGCGAAAGUGUGGGGAGCGAACAGGAUUAGAUACCC